RNAcentral lists this ribosomal RNA (2923 nucleotides) under Campylobacter coli. RNAcentral describes it as "23S ribosomal RNA". It matches the Rfam family "Bacterial large subunit ribosomal RNA". Lineage: Bacteria; Pseudomonadati; Campylobacterota; Epsilonproteobacteria; Campylobacterales; Campylobacteraceae. The record is from RNAcentral.
AAAAAAGGUAAGCUACUAAGAGCGAAUGGUGGAUGCCUUGACUGGUAAAGGCGAUGAAGGACGUACUAGACUGCGAUAAGCUACGGGGAGCUGUCAAGAAGCUUUGAUCCGUAGAUUUCCGAAUGGGGCAACCCAAUGUAUAGAGAUAUACAUUACCUAUAUAGGAGCGAACGAGGGGAAUUGAAACAUCUUAGUACCCUCAGGAAAAGAAAUCAAUAGAGAUUGCGUCAGUAGCGGCGAGCGAAAGCGCAAGAGGGCAAACCCAGUGCUUGCACUGGGGGUUGUAGGACUGCAAUGUGCAAGAGGUGAGUUUAGCAGAACAUUCUGGAAAGUAUAGCCAUAGAGGGUGAUAGUCCCGUAUGCGAAAAACAAACCUUAGCUAGCAGUAUCCUGAGUAGGGCGGGACACGAGAAAUCCUGUCUGAAGCUGGGUCGACCACGAUCCAACCCUAAAUACUAAUACCAGAUCGAUAGUGCACAAGUACCGUGAGGGAAAGGUGAAAAGAACUGAGGUGAUCAGAGUGAAAUAGAACCUGAAACCAUUUGCUUACAAUCAUUCAGAGCACUAUGUAGCAAUACAGUGUGAUGGACUGCCUUUUGCAUAAUGAGCCUGCGAGUUGUGGUGUCUGGCAAGGUUAAGCAAACGCGAAGCCGUAGCGAAAGCGAGUCUGAAUAGGGCGCUUAGUCAGAUGCUGCAGACCCGAAACGAAGUGAUCUAUCCAUGAGCAAGUUGAAGCUAGUGUAAGAACUAGUGGAGGACUGAACCCAUAGGCGUUGAAAAGCCCCGGGAUGACUUGUGGAUAGGGGUGAAAGGCCAAUCAAACUUCGUGAUAGCUGGUUCUCUCCGAAAUAUAUUUAGGUAUAGCGUUGUGUCGUAAUAUAAGGGGGUAGAGCACUGAAUGGGCUAGGGCAUACACCAAUGUACCAAACCCUAUCAAACUCCGAAUACCUUAUAUGUAAUCACAGCAGUCAGGCGGCGAGUGAUAAAAUCCGUCGUCAAGAGGGAAACAACCCAGACUACCAGCUAAGGUCCCUAAAUCUUACUUAAGUGGAAAACGAUGUGAAGUUACUUAAACAACCAGGAGGUUGGCUUAGAAGCAGCCAUCCUUUAAAGAAAGCGUAAUAGCUCACUGGUCUAGUGAUUUUGCGCGGAAAAUAUAACGGGGCUAAAGUAAGUACCGAAGCUGUAGACUUGAUUUUAUCAAGUGGUAGGAGAGCGUUCUAUUUGCGCCGAAGGUAUACCGGUAAGGAGUGCUGGAGCGAAUAGAAGUGAGCAUGCAGGCAUGAGUAGCGAUAAUUAAUGUGAGAAUCAUUAACGCCGUAAACCCAAGGUUUCCUACGCGAUGCUCGUCAUCGUAGGGUUAGUCGGGUCCUAAGUCGAGUCCGAAAGGGGUAGACGAUGGCAAAUUGGUUAAUAUUCCAAUACCAACAUUAGUGUGCGAUGGAAGGACGCUUAGGGCUAAGGGGGCUAGCGGAUGGAAGUGCUAGUCUAAGGUCGUAGGAGGUUAUACAGGCAAAUCCGUAUAACAAUACUCCGAGAACUGAAAGGCUUUUUGAAGUCUUCGGAUGGAUAGAAGAACCCCUGAUGCCGUCGAGCCAAGAAAAGUUUCUAAGUUUAGCUAAUGUUGCCCGUACCGUAAACCGACACAGGUGGGUGGGAUGAGUAUUCUAAGGCGCGUGGAAGAACUCUCUUUAAGGAACUCUGCAAAAUAGCACCGUAUCUUCGGUAUAAGGUGUGGUUCGCUUCGUAUUAGGAUUUACUCCGAAAGCGAAGAAACUUACAACAAAGAGUCCCUCCCGACUGUUUACCAAAAACACAGCACUCUGCUAACUCGUAAGAGGAUGUAUAGGGUGUGACGCCUGCCCGGUGCUCGAAGGUUAAUUGAUGGGGUUAGCAUUAGCGAAGCUCUUGAUCGAAGCCCGAGUAAACGGCGGCCGUAACUAUAACGGUCCUAAGGUAGCGAAAUUCCUUGUCGGUUAAAUACCGACCUGCAUGAAUGGCGUAACGAGAUGGGAGCUGUCUCAAAGAGGGAUCCAGUGAAAUUGUAGUGGAGGUGAAAAUUCCUCCUACCCGCGGCAAGACGGAGAGACCCCGUGGACCUUUACUACAGCUUGACACUGCUACUUGGAUAAGAAUGUGCAGGAUAGGUGGGAGGCUUUGAGUAUAUGACGCCAGUUGUAUAUGAGCCAUUGUUGAGAUACCACUCUUUCUUAUUUGGGUAGCUAACCAGCUUGAGUUAUCCUCAAGUGGGACAAUGUCUGGUGGGUAGUUUGACUGGGGCGGUCGCCUCCCAAAUAAUAACGGAGGCUUACAAAGGUUGGCUCAGAACGGUUGGAAAUCGUUCGUAGAGUAUAAAGGUAUAAGCCAGCUUAACUGCAAGACAUACAAGUCAAGCAGAGACGAAAGUCGGUCUUAGUGAUCCGGUGGUUCUGUGUGGAAGGGCCAUCGCUCAAAGGAUAAAAGGUACCCCGGGGAUAACAGGCUGAUCUCCCCCAAGAGCUCACAUCGACGGGGAGGUUUGGCACCUCGAUGUCGGCUCAUCGCAUCCUGGGGCUGGAGCAGGUCCCAAGGGUAUGGCUGUUCGCCAUUUAAAGCGGUACGCGAGCUGGGUUCAGAACGUCGUGAGACAGUUCGGUCCCUAUCUGCCGUGGGCGUAAGAAGAUUGAAGAGAUUUGACCCUAGUACGAGAGGACCGGGUUGAACAAACCACUGGUGUAGCUGUUGUUCUGCCAAGAGCAUCGCAGCGUAGCUAAGUUUGGAAAGGAUAAACGCUGAAAGCAUCUAAGCGUGAAGCCAACUCUAAGAUGAAUCUUCUCUAAGCUCUCUAGAAGACUACUAGUUUGAUAGGCUGGGUGUGUAAUGGAUGAAAGUCCUUUAGCUGACCAGUACUAAUAGAGCGUUUGGCUUAUCUUUAAUAAAGCAU